CGAGGGUCCCGUGUUAGAGACUGUCGCCCAACUCCGCCAGAUCCGGAAGGAAGCAACGGUAAGCGAACUGUCUCUGUGCACGUCAGGCUCCCGGGA
RNAcentral lists this signal recognition particle RNA (96 nucleotides) under Spirochaetota bacterium. RNAcentral describes it as "Spirochaetes bacterium signal recognition particle sRNA small type". It matches the Rfam family "Bacterial small signal recognition particle RNA". From Rfam's summary of the family: The signal recognition particle (SRP) is a universally conserved ribonucleoprotein involved in the co-translational targeting of proteins to membranes. Archaeal SRP consists of a 7S RNA and homologues of the eukaryotic SRP19 and SRP54 proteins. Lineage: Bacteria; Pseudomonadati; Spirochaetota. The record is from RNAcentral.